This 253-nucleotide ribosomal RNA is filed under the name uncultured bacterium. RNAcentral describes it as "partial 16S ribosomal RNA". It matches the Rfam family "Bacterial small subunit ribosomal RNA", at positions 524 to 776 of the family's 1533-position model. The record is from RNAcentral.
UACGGAGGAUCCGAGCGUUAUCCGGAUUUAUUGGGUUUAAAGGGUGCGUAGGCGGUUUGAUAAGUUAGAGGUGAAAUGUCGGGGCUCAGCCCCGAAACUGCCUCUAAUACUGUUGGACUAGAGAAUAGUUGCGGUAGGCGGAAUGUAUGGUGUAGCGGUGAAAUGCUUAGAGAUCAUACAGAACACCGAUUGCGAAGGCAGCUUACCAAACUAUAUCUGACGUUGAGGCACGAAAGCGUGGGUAGCAAACAGG